CCUACGGGCGGCAGCAGUGGGGGAUAUUGCACAAUGGGGGGAACCCUGAUGCAGCGACGCCGCGUGGGUGAAGAAGCGCCUCGGCGCGUAAAGCCCUGUCAGCAGGGAAGAAAAUGACGGUACCUGAAGAAGAAGCCCCGGCUAACUACGGGCCAGCAGCCGCGGUGAUCCGUAGGGGGCAAGCGUUAUCCGGAUUUACUGGGUGUAAAGGGGGCGCAGGCUGGGAUGCAAGCCAGGAGGGAAAGCCGGGGGCCCAACCCCGGGACUGCUCUUGGAACUGCGUGGCUGGAGUGCAGGAGGGGCAGGCGGAAUUCCUGGUGUAGCGGUGAAAUGCGUAGAUAUCAGGAGGAACACCGGUGGCGAAGGCGGCCUGCUGGACUGCAACUGACGUUGAGGCCCGAAAGCGUGGGGAGCGAACAGGAUUAGAUACCCUUGUAGUC
RNAcentral lists this ribosomal RNA (440 nucleotides) under uncultured bacterium. RNAcentral describes it as "partial 16S ribosomal RNA". It matches the Rfam family "Bacterial small subunit ribosomal RNA", at positions 338 to 795 of the family's 1533-position model. The record is from RNAcentral.